RNAcentral lists this ribosomal RNA (1367 nucleotides) under uncultured bacterium. RNAcentral describes it as "partial 16S ribosomal RNA". It matches the Rfam family "Bacterial small subunit ribosomal RNA", at positions 40 to 1379 of the family's 1533-position model. The record is from RNAcentral.
CGGCGUGCCUAAUACAUGCAAGUCGAGCGAAUCUUAUGGGAGCUUGCUCCCGGAUGAUUAGCGGCGGACGGGUGAGUAACACGUGGGCAACCUGCCCGUAAGAUUGGGAUAACUCCGGGAAACCGGUGCUAAUACCGAAUAGUUUCUGACACCUCAUGGUGUCGGAGGGAAAGUUGGCUUCGGCUAACACUUACGGAUGGGCCCGCGGCGCAUUAGCUAGUUGGUGAGGUAACGGCUCACCAAGGCGACGAUGCGUAGCCGACCUGAGAGGGUGAUCGGCCACACUGGGACUGAGACACGGCCCAGACUCCUACGGGAGGCAGCAGUAGGGAAUCUUCCGCAAUGGACGAAAGUCUGACGGAGCAACGCCGCGUGAGCGAAGAAGGCCUUCGGGUCGUAAAGCUCUGUUGUCAGGGAAGAACCAGUGGCCUUCCAAUAGGCUGGCCCCCUUGACGGUACCUGACCAGAAAAGCCCCCGCUAAACUACGGGCCCGCCAGCCGCGGUAAUACGUAGGUUGCAAACGUUGUUCCGGGAUUUACUGGGGUGUAAAAGGGCGUGUAGGGCGGAGAUUCAAAGUUGGGAGUGAAAUUCCGGGGCCCCAACCCCGGAAACUGCUUUCAAAACUGUAUCCCUUGAGGGUCGGAGAGGCAAGCGGAAUUCCUAGUGUAGCGGUGAAAUGCGUAGAUAUUAGGAGGAACACCAGUGGCGAAGGCGGCUUGCUGGACGAUAACUGACGCUGAGGCGCGAAAGCGUGGGGAGCAAACAGGAUUAGAUACCCUGGUAGUCCACGCUGUAAACGAUGAAUACUAGGUGUGGGAGGACUGACCCCUUCCGUGCCGCAGUUAACACAAUAAGUAUUCCACCUGGGGAGUACGACCGCAAGGUUGAAACUCAAAGGAAUUGACGGGGGCCCGCACAAGCAGUGGAUUAUGUGGUUUGAUUCGACGCAACGCGAAGAACCUUACCAGGACUUGACAUCCAACUAACGAAGUAGAGAUACAUUAGGUGCCCUUCGGGGAAAGUUGAGACAGGUGGUGCAUGGUUGUCGUCAGCUCGUGUCGUGAGAUGUUGGGUUAAGUCCCGCAACGAGCGCAACCCCUAUUGUUAGUUGCUACGCAAGAGCACUCUAGCGAGACUGCCGUUGACAAAACGGAGGAAGGCGGGGACGACGUCAAAUCAGCACGGCCCUUACGUCCGGGGCGACACACGUGUUACAAUGGCAGGUACAGAGGGCGGCCAGGCAGCGAUGCCGCGCAAAUCUCGAAAGCCUGUCUCAGUUCGGAUUGGAGUCUGCAACUCGACUCCAUGAAGUUGGAUUCGCUAGUAAUCGCACGUCAGCCAUGGCGCGGUGAAUACGUUCCCGGGC